GUGUAUCUGUUGUUCCACCAGGAGCAUCGCAGAGUAGCUACGUUCGGACGGGAUAACCGCUGAAAGCAUAUAAGUGGGAAGCCCACCUGAAGAUAAGAUCGCACCUGUUGUAGUCCGGGCAGACGACCCGCUUGAUAGGUCACAGGUGUAAGUUCAGUAAUGGAUUCAGCCAAGUGAUACUAAUCGCCAAGCUUGACCAUAUUAC
This 205-nucleotide ribosomal RNA is filed under the name Leptospira ilyithenensis. RNAcentral describes it as "partial 23S ribosomal RNA". It matches the Rfam family "Bacterial large subunit ribosomal RNA", at positions 2712 to 2925 of the family's 2925-position model. Lineage: Bacteria; Pseudomonadati; Spirochaetota; Leptospiria; Leptospirales; Leptospiraceae. The record is from RNAcentral.